GACCGGAAUAAAACUCACCUACCUCUCUUCCCAUAAAUAAUCUUCAAUCAUGUUCCCUGCGGUGGUAUAUAUGCCUAUUAAAAAGGAAUUCUAGGAAUACGGAGAUAUUAUGUAUAGGUUAGAGUGCAUAUUGGGUGUUCUUCGUAAAUAAGAAAGCUAAAAAGGAGCGGAACUUGCGAAGCGACUGUAGCUUACUUAUUUACGAAGAACAUCCAAUAUGCACUCUAACCGGCUUAGUGCUCCGCCCACUUGCGUUUUAUAAUAUAAAACGUCCAGUUUAUAUAAAAUCUGUUCUAUUAAGAUUUGUAACCUGAAAAUUUGAAAAAUCCUCGUCGGUGAUUGGCUUAAAAAAAUUGGCGAGCACUAAGUAACCAAAGGGAAAUAAUCAGUUGUAGUUUAUUGAUUGAAAUCUGUAGGAGUGAUUUCCCUUGGCUGUUUUAUUAGUUAGUCAUGCGUGUAAUUGUUCCCGCCGUUUUCUGAGUUGUCAUCCGUUUUUGGAAGAAGGCAGACAUGUUUUUCAGUUGUUUAUAGUUAGUUAUUAUUUCUUAAAAUGGAUUGUGGACUUUGGAUUGAGUAACACCACAAGACUGAGAGGAUUUUUGUAUGUGUGUCAUUUGAGUCCAAUCCACAAUUGGGCUUGAUAUCUUCUUGAUACUGAUUAUAUAUUGAUUGGUGCUUAAACAAGUGCUUGAUGUGUAGUUGUGAUGUGACUUUAACCUCUUGGGUUAAAUCUACUUGAAGCUUUAUAUUAAUAUAGUAAUAUACUGAGAUCAUACACUGAUGGACAUUUCAAUUAAAAGUAUUGAACGAA
Ruditapes philippinarum (Manila clam) is the source of this 811-nucleotide long non-coding RNA. RefSeq lists it as uncharacterized. NCBI's taxonomy places the organism in Eukaryota, Metazoa, Mollusca, Bivalvia, Venerida, Veneridae. The record is from RefSeq and is a predicted model, not a curated record. The transcript has 3 exons.